This 150-nucleotide ribosomal RNA is filed under the name Micromonospora saelicesensis. RNAcentral's name for it is "partial 16S rRNA. Bacterial SSU". It matches the Rfam family "Bacterial small subunit ribosomal RNA", at positions 1 to 151 of the family's 1533-position model. The record is from RNAcentral. Lineage: Bacteria; Bacillati; Actinomycetota; Actinomycetes; Micromonosporales; Micromonosporaceae.
UUUUGUUGGAGAGUUUGAUCCUGGCUCAGGACGAACGCUGGCGGCGUGCUUAACACAUGCAAGUCGAGCGGAAAGGCCCUUCGGGGUACUCGAGCGGCGAACGGGUGAGUAACACGUGAGCAACCUGCCCCAAGCUUUGGGAUAACCCUC